AGAUCAAGUCCUUUGCAGAGCUUCCGGUCCUAUUGGAUGAACAGUUUCGCGAGGACAACAAAUGCGACCAUUGUGGAAGUCUGCAUAAUUUUGAUCUCUUUCUUUCAAACACACCACACUUCUUUACAAUAGUUUUGAACUGGCUGGGUGGCAGUGAAAGCCAGGACGCACUAUCUGAAGUUCUGGCUGGCAUCACGUCUCCCCUUGACACUGAGUUCUUUUGCAGGAGUGCUCAUCCUGCAGCUAUGUAUGCUGUCACCUCCAUGGUACGUGCACAGCAAACUAUUCUAUUUUCCUAAAUUGAAUUGUCAAUGGAGCUGAACAAAUACUUUUAUCAUUUAAUUCUCAUGUUAAGGUAAUCCUGAAAUGAUAAAAAGCAAUGAGCUAUUUGUAUUGGUUGACGUUCAUGACCUUUUAUAAGUUGUGUUGCUAAUUGUUUACUGUUCCUUGACUGCUACCGGAGGCCAAGUUGGUAUUGUUCUAAGACUGAAGCAAGGUUCUUAUUUUGUGGAACAAAACGGAUCAUGGUUAAAUGGCGUUGUCACCUGGUUCAAAUUGCCUAGGUUACAUUGACAAGGCAUUUUGCUGCUAUUUAUAAAGAAGUGGAUAUAAGGUUUAAACUAUGAUACAUCAUAUCUGAGUUGGUUCGUACUUGGAGUUGGAGAGAUAUUUGCAAGUUUUUGAAUGGUCCUAUCUGUGGCAUAUUUUUUCCUGCCUACUUCACUUAUAUCAAGAUAUUUAGAAGACUCGGCAGAAGAAUUUCAGCAAGAAUCAAUAGCCUGUGUGAUCCUUAUGUCGCUGAGUUCCUUUUAUAAACGUUCCAUUGAUUGAACGGUUGAAGAAGUAUCAUAUGUAGGUAAACUGGUUAGACCUUUUAAAGUCUGCUGCUCUCACAAGUAUGUUUUGCAUUAUUUUCCUUCCCUUUAAAGCGAAUAGGAAAUGGCCUCAUCAAAUCACAUGGAGUGGUUGCAGAACAUCUGCUGGAGUAACCUUUUAUAUGCACACUUCCUAUCUCUCUGUCUCUGUUUACUCUUCUGUUGCUUUGAGUAUUAGUGCAGGCCUAUUGCAAGGUUGGUUUAAUGCUCUGGUUACUUAAUUUGCCUGCUUACAUAUGCAAGCAUAGUCACUCCUUGCAAACGCAGUGCAAUUUAGCAUCCAUCUUAUGCUAGCUUGCAAUCCAAACUCUUGCAGAUCUGCUAUGCUGAUGACCGCUACGUCUGCUUUGCUCGCGACGAGGACAAGUGGGUCAUAUAUGGCUUCGAGACUGUCGAGAGAGAAGAUAGUUGGGAGCAUUUGCUAGAACGUUUCAAGGACUGCAAGCUCCAGCCUGAAGUUCUAUUUUUCGAGGUCAUCAAGUAGACUAUUGUAUAGCAAACCUCUCUGACGAUCAGAGCCAACUCUGGACCCAGUUUUUUUGUUUCAUUGCCACCAUUUUGAUGCUGUUUGGCUUGGUCACUCUGACAUCGAAUACAGAUAAACUCUUCAGAGAUGGU
Molecule: long non-coding RNA, 1493 nt
Organism: Triticum aestivum (bread wheat)
Lineage: Eukaryota; Viridiplantae; Streptophyta; Magnoliopsida; Poales; Poaceae
Exons: 3
Source: RefSeq, a predicted model, not a curated record